GCAUAAUCACUUGUCCCUUAAAUCGGGACUGGAAUGAACGGCUAAAUGAGGACUAAACUGUCUCUUACAGGCCAGCCAAUGAAAUUGAUUUUCCAGUACAAAAGCUGGAAUAUAACCACAAGACGAGAAGACCCUGUGGAGCUUACAAACCAAAUUCACCAAACAUGUUUAUCGGUUUUCAGUUGGGGCGACUUCGGAGUACAAAAUAACCUCCAAACAUAAAACUAAUUAAGAACAACACAUCAAAAUAUAUUUAUAAUGACCCAGCAACCCUAUGGUUGUCUGAUUAAUGAACCAAGUUACCCCAGGGAUAACAGCGCCAUCCCCUUCUAGAGUCCCUAUCGACAAGGGGGUUUACGACCUCGAUGUUGGAUCAGGACACCCCAAUGGUGCAGCCGCCAUUAACGGUUCGUUUGUUCAACGAUUAAAGUCCAACGUGAU
RNAcentral lists this ribosomal RNA (441 nucleotides) under Anatololacerta sp. RNAcentral's name for it is "partial small subunit ribosomal RNA". It matches the Rfam family "Bacterial large subunit ribosomal RNA", at positions 1959 to 2604 of the family's 2925-position model. Lineage: Eukaryota; Metazoa; Chordata; Lepidosauria; Squamata; Lacertidae. The record is from RNAcentral.